AGUGAACGCUGGCGGUAGGCCUAACACAUGCAAGUCGAACGGCAGCACAGUAAGAGCUUGCUCUUACGGGUGGCGAGUGGCGGACGGGUGAGGAAUACAUCGGAAUCUACUUUUUCGUGGGGGAUAACGUAGGGAAACUUACGCUAAUACCGCAUCCGACCUACGGGUGAAAGAAGGGGAUCUUCGGACCUUGCGCGAUUGAAUGAGCCGAUGUCGGAUUAGCUAGUUGGCGGGGUAAAGGCCCACCAAGGCGACGAUCCGUAGCUGGUCUGAGAGGAUGAUCAGCCACACUGGAACUGAGACACGGUCCAGACUCCUACGGGAGGCAGCAGUGGGGAAUAUUGGACAAUGGGCGCAAGCCUGAUCCAGCCAUACCGCGUGGGUGAAGAAGGCCUUCGGGUUGUAAAGCCCUUUUGUUGGGAAAGAAAAGCAGCAGGUUAAUACCCCGCUGUUCUGACGGUACCCAAAGAAUAAGCACCGGCUAACUUCGUG
RNAcentral lists this ribosomal RNA (492 nucleotides) under uncultured bacterium. Its description in RNAcentral is "partial 16S ribosomal RNA". It matches the Rfam family "Bacterial small subunit ribosomal RNA", at positions 29 to 507 of the family's 1533-position model. The record is from RNAcentral.